Molecule: ribosomal RNA, 497 nt
Filed under: uncultured bacterium
Lineage: Bacteria
Description: partial 16S ribosomal RNA
Rfam family: Bacterial small subunit ribosomal RNA
Source: RNAcentral
GACGAACGCUGGCGGCGUGCCUAAUACAUGCAAGUUGAGCGCUGAAGGUUGGUACUUGUCCCGACUGGAUGAGCAGCGAACGGGUGAGUAACGCGUGGGGAAUCUGCCUUUGAGCGGGGGACAACAUUUGGAAACGAAUGCUAACACCGCAUAAAAACUUUAAACACAAGUUUUAAGUUUGAAAGAUGCAAUUGCAUCACUCAAAGAUGAUCCCGCGUUGUAUUAGCUAGUUGGUGAGGUAAAGGCUCACCAAGGCGAUGAUACAUAGCCGACCUGAGAGGGUGAUCGGCCACAUUGAGACUGAGACACGGCCCAAACUCCUACGGGAGGCAGCAGUAGGGAAUCUUCGGCAAUGGACGAAAGUCUGACCGAGCAACGCCGCGUGAGUGAAGAAGGUUUUCGGAUCGUAAAACUCUGUUGGUAGAGAAGAACGUUGGUGAGAGUGGAAAGCUCAUCAAGUGACGGUAACUACCCAGAAAGGGACGGCUAACUACGUG